ACCUUUAUUUAUGGAUUAUGUGGUGAUGAUCCAACUCAGUGCCUCAGACGUGGUAGGAACAUCCACCAUCCCAUCAGCAAAAGAGUGUGUAAGCAAGAAAAUGAAGCUGUGUUUAAGGAGUCCUCCUCAUCUGCUGUGUGCUCUUAUUCAGUCAAAAACCUCUCUGGGCUUUUUCUAUCACCUGGAAAACGGAAGAGAGAUUAUUUCUGACCUCUCCUGACUCUGAGAUAUGGACCAAGUGAAUGAGUUCAUGUUUCCACCAUGCUUUGAAGUUGUCAGAAGACAGAUUGUAUGUGACUCUGAAGUCUUGGGUCUUCCCAUGAAAAUGUGGCUCAGAAAUUCCUCCCUGGAUAUGACCCACUUAAUAUCUAUCUGAUGGCCUAUAGCUUUGCUAUAGCACAGCCAUGGCUGCAGAAGGAAAAAGAGAUUAAAAAAACCCAAAAAAUCCAGACCUGAUCAUUUUCUUUCAAAGCCAAGCUUUCCUUAAGUGUAAAUUAUAUGGCCUCUGCCGAAGUUAAAAGUAUCAUCAAAGCUGAAAGAAGGUUGGUUGAAAUAGUCCACUUGGCAAAAAUGGCUUCCACAGGACAACAACUAGAGCUCCUUUCAGAGACUUAAAGCCACCUUGUUGGGAAAGGAGCAAAUGGCUCCGUGGGGUUGAAAUAUCUUGGCUCCUUCAUAGUGAUGACAGUUGAGCCCAGUGCCAGAUUCUGUUCCAGUGGAUAAAGUCUGAACUUGAAAGAUGUCACAGUAUUCCCCAAAGCUAACAUUCCUAAGAAAGACUGCAUUGUCAGCAGGGGAAAAGUGACCCUGGCUCUCACCUUGGUUAUACCUCUGGGACAGAAAGACCCAAGCCAAGGUGAAGACGAUGGCUGCCGCAGAAGUCAUUCCUUAAUUUGGUGGCUCCAAAGGUGGACAUUUUGCUGAAAAAAAAAAAAGUGGAACCCAGUGGCACCAAGCCACCAUGUGACAGGCGAAUGCACUGGGAUACAUCAGAAAGCAUUAUUUUUAGAAGACAAUCAGCAUGCAAUUGUAAAAGGACCCCAUCAAACCGCUUCUGACCUUGAAGCAGGAGGCGAAACGUGGGGUCUAACAAACAGAGCAGAGUGGCCUUGGCGAAGGAGCGGACAUGGCCAAGACAGCGUGCAUGACAAAACGGAGGGACAAAGAAAGAAAAUGAGAAUUUCUGAAAGAGGUGACAGACACUGAUGCUACUUUGAGAAGAAGAAAAGAGAGAGAAAAAUCUUUGGAAUCAUGGCAUCUAUAUGCUAGUUUUCCUGCUGUUAGUAGGAGGCCUGAGGCUGCCCAGCUUGACUGAAAUCAAGAGAAAGGAGUGUUGUUCCUGUCAGCCUACCUCAGAGUCCUCGGCCAUUUAAGGAGCAUCAUCGAUCUCAUCAGCCACACUGAGAUAUAAUUGACCAUCGAGAAAGAAAAAAAUCACUGGAAGGCACUUAUUCCCAUCAGAAUGUGACACGGGCAAUGUGUGACCUCCGAGCCAGCCCAUUUUUGCAGAUUCCGCUCUCCCUACCCCUCUCUUGACUUCUGUUUCCUUCUUUGGAAGUGGGCAUGUUCCUAGUGGCCUCUGUCAUCAGGUUAUUGGAAAGAAUCACUAGUUAAUGUUGGGGAAAAGCGUUGGGGAAGAUGACUUACUUGUGCCCUUAAGGAUCAUUCUUCAGAACAAUACGCAGUAUUUUUGUUGAAUGGGCACACUCGGUGCUUGCCCUGAUCUGGGGACUUAGAAACGACCUGAUGCUGGCCAGUUAACACCAGCAGUUAAAGAAACUGCCAUUGUUCUCUCCAAGGAUUGUCUGCAUGGAAAUCUAGCCCUGGCAAUUUGUAAUGAGGCAGGAUGCUUAUUAAUGAUUUUUGGCUUAAUGUAUUAAUGAAUAGAGAUUUAAGGGAUAAAAAGACUUACAAUGUAAUAAGGGAAACUCCAAGAAAGAUUAGGCUCUAAUCAAAAUAAAUUGUGUUCUCAGAUUGAUUUCCAUAAAAUUCAACUCCCUUUUCCCUUUAUUUAUAACCUCAAAGAAAUGUAUUGUGCUAAGCUGAAUUGUAUCACUCAGAAAGAAGAAUGGAUAUUCUAUUUUAAUAUAAUAUGAAUAAACUACAAAUGUCAACUUACUAGGAAAAAAAAAACACCCUGUAGAGCUAGAGUAGAUAUUUUCAGUAAGAAAAAAAAAAUUACAUCUAAAUGUCAAUUUAUUUUCUUUUUCUCAAUAGUACUUUUCAUGUUUAAUUCAAGAUCUGAUUAGCACUAUCAAAAAAAAACCCCAGAUAAAAUAGCAAUGUUAUGAAUAGCAAUACAAUUUGUUAAGAUUAGCUUUUCUUUCUCUUCCUCCUCCUCCUUCCUAAUUUCUUCCAAGUGAUAACAAUGUGCUUUACUCUCUCCUAUGAGGAGACGACUUCUUCUAAGAAAGUGCAUUCAGAACUCCAAUUUAGUUCAUUAUAAAGACCGAAAGAGAGUACUGUCAAACCAUGAGUCAAGAUCACUCUAUUGAGCACCCAACUAUUCUGGACUUGUCCAUAUCUUCAUGUUCUAUCUCUUCAGCAUGAAAGCAGAGACUUCAUCUGUACUUUUCUUUCUUCGACUGCCAAUAAUAAUAAAAAAAAAGGUACUUAGAACAUGCAAAUCUGCCUUCCAUUGGACACAAAAUCCUUCUGCAUCCAAUUGACUAGAAUUAGAAAAGGAAAUGCAACCUUUGGACUAACUCUGGAGCCCAGUGGUAUAACAUGAUGUCCCUUAGCAGCCACAAAAUAUUUAGUUCCUCUCCCAUAUGGCUAUCUAUCUUGCAAGAGGACCCGACCACUACAAAUCCUUUACAAGGAACACUGCCUCAAAUUUGGAGUCACUCUUCAUUGGCAAAUUGCAUGGGGACUCUCUGGUAAAACCCCCAGUUGACCUUCUGUGGUUUCCCGGGUUAAUCUUUUUCUACCUCAUUGCUUAGUUUUGAAGAGAGGGGGCUCCAUUUGUGUUUAUGGUAAUAUUGAUUUAUUAUUCUAAAAAAAAAAAAAAAAGACUGUGCAAUAUAGGCCUAAAAAA
Molecule: non-coding RNA, 3037 nt
Organism: Ictidomys tridecemlineatus (thirteen-lined ground squirrel)
Lineage: Eukaryota; Metazoa; Chordata; Mammalia; Rodentia; Sciuridae
Source: RefSeq, a predicted model, not a curated record